CCACUGAUUGAAGAUAAAUAUCUUGAAUAAACACCUGGACUGUCAGUAGCUUUGUGUUUAUCAGGCCCAGAUUUCUGUCAAGGUCACAAAGGCCCAGGCCUAGGGUGGCAAGAUUUUAGGGGCAGCAUGCUAGCCGCAUUCUAAGCAGUACUGUGGAUGGGAAUGCGGUGGGAACUGGCGCAUGUAUGCGUGCACUUAGAGUUGGGGGUGCUUGCAAGGGCAGGCAGCAGGACCCUCUGGCCUUGGGGAGGCCAAACUGGAAAUAUGGGCCUGGUGUUCAUAGGUCCUCCUAUCUGUUUUUAGGCCUCACCAGCAGUGUAAGUUUUUGGAUCAGUACAGAUAGAUCAGCAACUAGACAGUUUUGGCAAACUGGUGUGUGGCGACCCUGAACAAGUGAUCAAAUCAAAACGAAUGAUCCAAAAUGGAAAACCAGGCUGUCCAAUAACUCUGCUGGUCUAUGGACAUAUUGUACCACCAAGACUGAUCUGUAUCUGGAAUUAAAAAGAAAACGUAACAAGAGUUCCCUUAUGGCCUGGAAGCUGGGCCAGCGCUCUUCAAACUGGCACACUCUGCAAAAUCUGGAGUAGGCACCUGUCCCCAAUGACAAAUCUGAUGUUGGCAGCCUUCACCAAUAGAAAAAAAGAACACAAACUAUCAUACAGCAGAAUACAUUCAGUUCAAGAGCCCACUUGCUGAAUAUGUAUGUUCCACACAUCCUGAAUAUGAAGUGGGGGGGCAUGUUACUUAUUUUAUAUGACUUCUCUUUUAGUGUUUUGGCUGUAUUAGCCUAAUAUAAAUGGAGUCUAUAGGAACGUAUUGGAAGGGUUACUGCCUGCUCUGCUUUCAUUCCCCUACAGAAAUAAGGAUUGAUAGCAUUAUAUGGGUGUCUAAUAUACAGAGUUAAAAAGAUGGUUCACCUUUAAUGUAACUUUUAGUAUGUUAUACAAUGGCCGAUUCUAAGCAACUUUUCUAUUGGCUUUCGUUAUUUAUUUUUUAAAGUUAUUUGCUUUUUUUCUU
Long non-coding RNA from Xenopus laevis (African clawed frog), 1017 nucleotides. RefSeq lists it as uncharacterized. NCBI's taxonomy places the organism in Eukaryota, Metazoa, Chordata, Amphibia, Anura, Pipidae. The record is from RefSeq and is a predicted model, not a curated record. The transcript is spliced from 3 exons.